RNAcentral lists this long non-coding RNA (1120 nucleotides) under Homo sapiens (human). RNAcentral's name for it is "non-protein coding lnc-LCN10-3:1". The record is from RNAcentral. Lineage: Eukaryota; Metazoa; Chordata; Mammalia; Primates; Hominidae.
CCCAGUUGCCAGGAGAGGUGCUCUCCCCAUCUGACGGAGGAGACACCGAACCUGGGGUCUCCCUGCACCCAAUCACCCUAUGACAACCCACAGUGGCCGCUGCUACAGGCCAGAUCCUUCUAUGCCCAGGCCUGACCCCAAGGGGAGUGGAGGCAUCGGAACCCUGGUCAUCGGGCAGCCUGGGGUCAAAAUUCAGUGGGGGACCUGCCCAGUUCUGGGCGAGUCUAGGGUUUGCCAGGAAGACAGAGCUGGGAUGACCUCCCCUCUGAGCUAGUCACAGGGUGUGGAGAGGGGCAGGGGGUCACCUUGGUGUGCACUCAUGUGGACACGUUUGCUCCCAGACACACACAUGCUCACAUACGCCAGGGGACUUAGCCCUAUCUCCCUGAGGUGGAGGCUGUGGAGGACCUUGCCCUGCCACCUGCCUCAGGGGACCCCUGGUCCCAGGGGGGCUAGCGAGGCCACUAAGGCCAGCACACGGGGGUCUCUAUCCCGGACCAGUGAGGCCAGCACACGGUGGUCUCUAUCCCAGGCCAGUGAGGCCAGCACACGGGGGUCGCUAUCCUGGACCAGUGAGGCCAGCACACGGGGGUCUCUAUCCCAUCCAGUGAGGACACCACACGGGGGUCUCUAUCCCGGAGCAGUGAGGCCAGCUGCCCACCCCAGGCUUCCUGCUAAACAUCCUCCCUCCCAAAGAUUUCUGGAGUCUGCCCUGCCUUCUGCCCCCAGCCCCCACGUCUCCCCCAUCCUCCUCUGGACCCCCAUCCUCCACACCCAGCCUGAGGCAGCCCCGCACGUCUCCCCCGUCCUCCCCUGGACCCCUGUCCUCCACACCCAGCCUGAGGCAGCUUUGCAGAUUCCACCUAGAAACCCACGUGCCUCGUGGGCCCUGGGUCUGGGGAGGAAGGUGUCUCCAGGGCCUGGUGCCCCAGCAUCUUGGGCAGCAGGGGGCACGGCCCAGUCCCCAGCCCGCACAAGCAACACUUACAAUGACCACCUGGCAGACAUGGCCGCGACAGCGCUCCGAGUAGGACGAGUAGUGCACGUACACCAGCCAGCUGCCUGCAAAGACGCCCAGCCAGGCCAGGAAGAUGCAGCGGACCCUGAGGCCUGGGAGCCG